Molecule: ribosomal RNA, 253 nt
Filed under: uncultured bacterium
Lineage: Bacteria
Description: partial 16S ribosomal RNA
Rfam family: Bacterial small subunit ribosomal RNA
Source: RNAcentral
UACGGGGUGGGCAAGCGUUGUUCGGAAUUACUGGGCGUAAAGGGUUCGUAGGUGGCCUGCUAAGUCAGACGUGAAAUCCCUCAGCUUAACUGGGGAACUGCGUCUGAGACUGGUGGGCUUGAGUGCAGGAGAGGAACGCGGAAUUCCAGGUGUAGCGGUGAAAUGCGCAGAUAUCAGGAGGAACACCGGUGGCGAAGGCGGUUCUCUGGGCAUGACCUGACGCUGAGGAGCGAAAGUGUGGGGAGCGAACAGG